AACGAACGCUGGCGGCAGGCCUAACACAUGCAAGUCGAGCGAACCCUUCGGGGUUAGCGGCGGACGGGUUAGUAACGCGUGGGAAUAUACCCUUUGGUACGGAAUAGCCUCGGGAAACUGAGAGUAAUACCGUAUGUGCCCUUCGGGGGAAAGAUUUAUCGCCAAAGGAUUAGCCCGCGUUGGAUUAGAUAGUUGGUGGGGUAAUGGCCUACCAAGUCUACGAUCCAUAGCUGGUUUGAGAGGAUGAUCAGCAACACUGGGACUGAGACACGGCCCAGACUCCUACGGGAGGCAGCAGUGGGGAAUCUUAGACAAUGGGCGCAAGCCUGAUCUAGCCAUGCCGCGUGGACGAUGAAGGCCUUAGGGUUGUAAAGCUCUUUCAGCCGGAAAGAAAACGCACAAAUUAAUACCCUGUGUGGAUGACGGUACCGGAAGAAGAAGCACCGGCUAACUACGUGCCAGCAGCCGCGGUAAAGUGUGACUG
RNAcentral lists this ribosomal RNA (484 nucleotides) under uncultured bacterium. Its description in RNAcentral is "bacterial SSU rRNA". It matches the Rfam family "Bacterial small subunit ribosomal RNA", at positions 29 to 534 of the family's 1533-position model. The record is from RNAcentral.